Molecule: ribosomal RNA, 442 nt
Filed under: uncultured bacterium
Lineage: Bacteria
Description: partial 16S ribosomal RNA
Rfam family: Bacterial small subunit ribosomal RNA
Source: RNAcentral
CCUACGGGUGGCUGCAGUAGGGAAUCUUUCACAAUGGGCGAAAGCCUGAUGGAGCAACGCCGCGUGCAGGAUGAAGGCCUUCGGGUUGUAAACUGCUUUUAUAAGCGAGAAAUAUGAUGGUAACUUAUGAAUAAGGAUCGGCUAACUACGUGCCAGCAGCCGCGGUCAUACGUAGGAUCCGAGCAUUAUCCGGAGUGACUGGGUGUAAAGAGUUGCGUAGGUGGCAUAAUAAGUAGCUAGUGAAAUCUGGUGGCUCAACCAUUCAGACUAUUAGCUAAACUGUUAAGCUCGAGACCGUUAGGGGUAACUGGAAUUUCUAGUGUAGGAGUGAAAUCCGUAGAUAUUAGAAGGAACACCAAUAGCGAAGGCAGUUCACUGGACUGCAACUGACACUGAGGCUCGAAAGUGUGGGUAUCAAACAGGAUUAGAUACCCUUGUAGUC